This 468-nucleotide ribosomal RNA is filed under the name uncultured bacterium. RNAcentral describes it as "partial 16S ribosomal RNA". It matches the Rfam family "Bacterial small subunit ribosomal RNA", at positions 28 to 507 of the family's 1533-position model. The record is from RNAcentral.
GACGAACGCUGGCGGCGUGCUUAACACAUGCAAGUCGAACGGAAAGGCCCUGCUUUUGUGGGGUGCUCGAGGGGCGAACGGGGGAGUAACACGUGAGUAACCUGCCCUUGACUUUGGGAUAACUUCAGGAAACUGGGGCUAAUACCGGAUAGGAGCUCCUGCUGCAUGGUGGGGGCUGGAAAGUUUCGGCGGUUGGGGAUGGACACGCGGCUUAUCAGCUUGUUGGUGGGGUAGUGGCUGAGCAAGGCUUUGACGGGUAGCCGGCCUGAGAGGGUGACCGGCCACAUUGGGCCUGGGAUGCGGCCCAGCCUCCUACGGGAGGCAGCGGUGGGGAAUAUUGCACUAUGGGCGGAAGCCUGAUGCAGCAACGCCGCGUGCGGGAUGACGGCCUUCGGGUUGGAAACCGCUUUCGCCUGUGACGAAGCGUUAGUGACGGUAACGGGUAAAGAAGCACCGGCUAACUACGUG